Molecule: ribosomal RNA, 2062 nt
Filed under: human gut metagenome
Description: bacterial LSU rRNA
Rfam family: Bacterial large subunit ribosomal RNA
Source: RNAcentral
CAGCCGAUGGAUUUGAUUGUAAGAACUAGAACAGCGUGGGAAAGCUGACCGAAGAUGGUGAUAGUCCAGUAUAGGUAGAAAGCAAUUAAGUUCUUGAGUAGGGCGGAGCACGAGAAAUUCUGUCUGAAAAUGGGGAGACCACUCUCCAAGGCUAAGUACUACUGAGUGACCGAUAGUGAACAAGUACCGUGAGGGAAAGGUGAAAAGCACCCCUAUAAGGGGAGUGAAAAAGAACCUGAAACCGGAUGCCUACAAGCAGUCGGAGGAGCAUUAGGCUCUGACGGCGUACCUUUUGUAUAAUGGGUCAGCGACUUAAUUUAUGUAGCAAGCUUAAGCCGAUAGGUGUAGGCGCAGCGAAAGCGAGUGUUAAUAGCGCGUUAAGUUACAUGGAUUAGACCCGAAACCGAGUGAUCUAGCCAUGAUCAGGUUGAAGGUUGGGUAACACCAACUGGAGGACCGAACCCACUCCCGUUGAAAAGGUAGGGGAUGAAUUGUGGCUAGGGGUGAAAGGCCAAUCAAACUCGGAAAUAGCUGGUUCUCCGCGAAAACUAUUUAGGUAGUGCGGCAAGCGGACACGUUGAGGGGUAGAGCACUGAAAGAGCUAAGGGGGAGCGAUCCUUACUAAACUUUAUCAAACUCCGAAUACUCAACAGUGAUACUUGCCAGACAGACUGUAGGUGCUAAGGUCUACGGUCGAGAGGGAAAGAGCCCAGACCGCCAAUUAAGGUCCCAAAAUUAUGGCUAAGUGGUAAAGGAAGUGAAUUGUCCAAAACAGUCAGGAGGUUGGCUUAGAAGCAGCCAUCCUUUAAAGAAAGCGUAAUAGCUCACUGAUCUAAACAAGACGAUUUGCGCCGAAGAUGUAACGGGGCUAAAGCCAUAUACCGAAGUUGCGGAAUUGCACGUAAGUGCAAUUGGUAGCGGAGCGUUCUGUAAGCCUGCGAAGGUGUUCCGUAAGGAAUGCUGGAGGUAUCAGAAGUGAGAAUGCUGACAUGAGUAGCGAAAAGAAGUGUGAGAGACACUUCCGCUGAAAGUCCAAGGUUUCCUGCGUAAAGCUAAUCUGCGCAGGGUUAGUCGGCCCCUAAGGCGAGGCAGAGAUGCGUAGUCGAUGGGAAUCAGGUUAAUAUUCCUGAACCAACUAGGAAGUGACGGAUUCAGUAAAUUGUAUGUCCUUAUUGGAUUGGAUGUGCAGUGAAUGAGUCCCGGGAAAUAGCCCUAGUAUAGACCGUACCCGAAACCGACACAGGUGGACAGGUAGAGAAUACCAAAGCGCUUGAGAGAACUAUGUUGAAGGAACUAGGCAAAAUGACUUGCGUAACUUCGGGAUAAGCAAGCCCCAUUUCUGGGCAACCAGAGGUGGGGGGCACAUACUAGGGGGUAGCGACUGUUUACUAAAAACACAGGGCUCUGCUAAAUUGAAAGAUGAAGUAUAGGGUCUGACGCCUGCCCGGUGCUGGAAGGUUAAGGAGAGAUGUGCAAGCAUUGAACUGAAGCCCCAGUAAACGGCGGCCGUAACUAUAACGGUCCUAAGGUAGCGAAAUUCCUUGUCGGGUAAGUUCCGACCUGCACGAAUGGCGUAACGACUUCCCCGCUGUCUCCAACAUAGACUCAGCGAAAUUGAAUUCUGAGUUAAGAUGCUCAGUACCCGCGGUUAGACGGAAAGACCCCGUGAACCUUUACUAUAGCUUUGCAGUGGUAUUAGGUGACAAAUGUGUAGGAUAGGUGGGAGGCUAUGAAGUUAUGACGCUAGUUGUAAUGGAGCAGACGUUGAAAUACCACCCUUUUGUUAUUUGAUAUCUAACCUGCUUCCGUUAUCCGGAAGAGGGACCCUGCAUGGUGGGUAGUUUGACUGGGGCGGUCGCCUCCCAAAGAGUAACGGAGGCGCGCAAAGGUUGGCUCAGAUUGGUCGGAAAUCAAUCGUUGAGUGCAAUGGCAUAAGCCAGCCUGACUGCGAGAGCGACAGUUCGAGCAGAGACGAAAGUCGGUCAUAGUGAUCCGGUGGUCCCGAGUGGAAGGGCCAUCGCUCAACGGAUAAAAGGUACUCCGGGGAUAACAGGCUGAUUCC